GCCUCAGCUAGGCUAAUCCUUACCUGUCCUUCUUUUUGGAGGGCAGAUAGAAAAUGAUGAUCAGAGUCUUGGUAUAACCAGAGCCCACAGCAUCUUGACUGUUCCUAUCUGUG
Small nucleolar RNA from Arvicola amphibius (Eurasian water vole), 113 nucleotides. RefSeq annotates it as U8 small nucleolar RNA. The transcript has a single exon. Lineage: Eukaryota; Metazoa; Chordata; Mammalia; Rodentia; Cricetidae. The record is from RefSeq and is a predicted model, not a curated record.